Molecule: ribosomal RNA, 494 nt
Filed under: uncultured bacterium
Lineage: Bacteria
Description: partial 16S ribosomal RNA
Rfam family: Bacterial small subunit ribosomal RNA
Source: RNAcentral
GACGAACGCUGGCGGCGCGCUUAACACAUGCAAGUCGAACGGAAAGGCCUGCUUUCCCUUGUGGAUUGCGGGUACUCGAGUGGCGAACGGGUGAGUAACACGUGAGUGAUCUGCCCCCAACUUGGGUAUAAGCCUGGGAAACUGGGUCUAAUUCCCGAUAGGACUGCAGGGUGGUGCCUGUGGUGGAAAACGAUUUUCUAGUGGUUGGGGAUGAGCUCGCGGUCUAUCAGCUUGUUGGUGGGGUAAUGGCCUACCAAGGCGGCGACGGGUAGCCGGCCUGGGAGGGUGGACGGCCACAUUGGGACUGAGAUACGGCCCAGACGCCUACGGGAGGCAGCAGUGGGGAAUAUUGCACAAUGGGCGGAAGCCUGAUGCAGCGACGCCGCGUGGGGGAUGACGGCCUUCGGGUUGUAAACUCCUUUCGACCGCGAGGAAGCCACCUGGUUGGAAGGGUGGUGACGGUAGUGGUAGAAGAAGCACCGGCUAACUACGUG